GGUCCUAUGGUGUAAAGGCUAGCACUCUCGACUUCUAAUCGAGCAAUCCGGGUUCGAACCCCGGUGGGACCU
This is a transfer RNA of Saprolegnia diclina VS20, 72 nucleotides long. It matches the Rfam family "tRNA". Rfam says of the family: Transfer RNA (tRNA) molecules are approximately 80 nucleotides in length. Their secondary structure includes four short double-helical elements and three loops (D, anti-codon, and T loops). Lineage: Eukaryota; Oomycota; Saprolegniomycetes; Saprolegniales; Saprolegniaceae. The record is from Rfam.